RNAcentral lists this ribosomal RNA (251 nucleotides) under uncultured prokaryote. Its description in RNAcentral is "partial 16S rRNA". It matches the Rfam family "Archaeal small subunit ribosomal RNA", at positions 475 to 726 of the family's 1478-position model. The record is from RNAcentral.
ACCAGCUCUUCGAGUGGUGUGGAUGUUUAUUGGGCCUAAAGCAUCCGUAGCUGGCUAGGUCAGUCCCUUGUUAAAUCCACCGAAUUAAUCGUUGGAUCGCGGGGGAUACUGCUUGGCUAGGGGACGAGAGAGGCAGACGGUAUUUUCGGGGUAGGGGUGAAAUCCUAUAAUCCCGGGAAGACCACCAGUGGCGAAGGCUGUCUGCUAGAACGCGCCCGACGGUGAGGGAUGAAAGCUGGGGGAGCGAACCG